CCAGACUCCUACGGGAGGCAGCAGUGAGGAAUAUUGGUCAAUGGGCGAGAGCCUGAACCAGCCAAGUCGCGUGAGGGAGUACUGCCCUAUGGGUUGUAAACCCCUUUUGUCGGGGAGCAAAAGCCGGACGUGUCCGUCUGUGAGAGUACCCGAAGAAAAAGCAUCGGCUAACUCCGUGCCAGCAGCCGCGGUAAUACGGAGGAUGCGAGCGUUAUCCGGAUUUAUUGGGUUUAAAGGGUGCGCAGGCGGAUUUUUAAGUCAGCGGUCAAAUCGUGGGGCUCAACCCCAUCCAGCCGUUGAAACUGGCUGUCUUGAGAUGUCGAGAGGUAUGCGGAAUGCGCAGUGUAGCGGUGAAAUGCUUAGAUAUUGCGCAGAACUCCGAUUGCGAAGGCAGCAUACCGGCGGCGAUCUGACGCUGAGGCACGAAAGCGUGGGUAUCGAACAGGAUUAGAUACCCGAGUAC
Molecule: ribosomal RNA, 463 nt
Filed under: uncultured bacterium
Lineage: Bacteria
Description: bacterial SSU rRNA
Rfam family: Bacterial small subunit ribosomal RNA
Source: RNAcentral